RNAcentral lists this ribosomal RNA (253 nucleotides) under uncultured bacterium. Its description in RNAcentral is "partial 16S ribosomal RNA". It matches the Rfam family "Bacterial small subunit ribosomal RNA", at positions 524 to 776 of the family's 1533-position model. The record is from RNAcentral.
CACGUAGGGCGCAAGCGUUGUCCGGAAUUAUUGGGCGUAAAGAGCUCGUAGGCGGUCUGUUGCGUCCGCUGUGAAAACUCGGGGCUUAACCCCGAGCCUGCAGUGGAUACGGGCAGACUAGAGGUAGGUAGGGGAGAAUGGAAUUCCCGGUGUAGCGGUGAAAUGUGUUGAUAUUGGAAGGAACACCGGAGGCGAAAGCGGUGUACUGGGGCUGGUCUGACGCUGAGGCACGAAAGCCAGGGGAGCGAACGGG